CAGGCUUGUAUGUUGGAUUGAUACGACUACCUGUAAAUAUGGUUAAACUUGGCUAUGUGAUUCAAAGGUUGUGGUUCACCGAGCGAUAAAGAAAAUGAUACAAAGAUGGAAUGAUUGGAUGCAAGUUAUCAGUUACAGUGUUUCAUAUGACAGGUAUUCUGAUUGUGGAAGAUGUGGGCUUGCAAUAUUUUGACAAUUGCAUGGCUGUAAAGUACGAGACAAUUAAUAUAGUACUCCAUUACUCUAAUUGCCAGAACACUGCAUCAGAAUGAGAAGUUGUCUGUUACAGUUAGGUUUAGUAAAAGUAUAGUAAAAGUACAUAGUCAACUAUGUAAAAUGUAAUUUAGUCAGUGUCAAAUAAAUAUUUUGUCAUGGAUAAACUCUGUGCAAAUGAGCAUGUCUCUAAUGUCAUUUUACUUUUAAUAAGAAUAUGUAGAUGUGUUUUCUAAUACACCUCCUUAGGUUUGCUGUGUUAUUAUAGCAUCUUUUGUAG
This is a non-coding RNA of Paramuricea clavata, 493 nucleotides long. The record is from the annotation of a GenBank genome assembly. NCBI's taxonomy places the organism in Eukaryota, Metazoa, Cnidaria, Anthozoa, Malacalcyonacea, Plexauridae.